Long non-coding RNA from Synchiropus splendidus (mandarinfish), 882 nucleotides. RefSeq lists it as uncharacterized. The transcript is spliced from 7 exons. NCBI's taxonomy places the organism in Eukaryota, Metazoa, Chordata, Actinopteri, Syngnathiformes, Callionymidae. The record is from RefSeq and is a predicted model, not a curated record.
UCCAUCGCAGAACCUCUCUCACUCCACCAGAGAUUUUGGAGAUUCAACAGUCCGUCGGUGCUCUGCUCGCAGCGCCUCCUCACACAGCCGCCGCCCAGGGGGAACACCGUCGCUGGUCGAAGGGGAGGGGUGAGCCCAGCCGUCCGGAUCAUCGCCGCGCUGAUCAUCGCUGCUCCUCUUGGAGAGACCAGUCGGUCUCUCAGCUCUGCACCCUCCAAAUGCGAAGGAAGAAAACUUUGUAUCUAAAAACUUGCCAGUUUCCAGCAGGGGUCGCCACAGGACCGCGAAAGCCACCACUUCAUCACACACACUCCAAACCUCUCGUAGGCAAGCAAGACAUCGUCAUCGAGAGAGUCAUCUCUUUCUGAGGAUGAUUGGGCCGGUCCCUCGGGUGUCCAUCUUAGGAGAAUUGCAGUGUCAGAUCAAGUUCAGGGGUAACCUUUGCUGUUGACCAGGCCUGCCAGAACUUCAUCGGACUCCUUUUCAAACGGACUCCAGUCUCGCUAUGGAUGCCUCUUCCUCUGCACGCCAUAGAUGUCGUCACCCAUCUGUGUGACAUUCAUUUAACGCAGAGUGAUACAAGUAAAAAGAUUUAAUUAUUCGAGCAAUAAUGCGACCAACUUUUGAAGACGGUGGCGUACACGCGGAUCCGACUGCAGUGCUCCCUUCAAUAGAUACCAGUCUAGCCACGGAUGCUUUAUAGGAAUUAUUACCCCUCUGGGUAAUAAUUAACGCAGAGUGAUACAGGUGAAAAUAGCCAAAUGCGGGAGCAGUACGGUGCGACAUGUUAGUUUUGUAGUGUGCAUUUUGUGUUUAGCAUUUUUAAAAAUGCUAAUUAAAAAAAAAAAAUUAAAAAAUCUAUUCAAAACCAGGCAACAAGUG